GUGGGGAAUAUUGGACAAUGGGGGGAACCCUGAUCCAGCCAUGCCGCGUGUGUGAAGAAGGCCUUUUGGUUGUAAAGCACUUUAAGCGAGGAGGAGGCUACCGAGAUUAAUACUCUUGGAUAGUGGACGUUACUCGCAGAAUAAGCACCGGCUAACUCUGUGCUAGCAGCCGCGGUAAUACAGAGGGUGCAAGCGUUAAUCGGAUUUACUGGGCGUAAAGCGCGCGUAGGUGGCCAAUUAAGUCAAAUGUGUAAUCCCCGAGCUUAACUUGGGAAUUGCAUUCGAUACUGGUUGGCUAGAGUAUGGGAGAGGAUGGUAGAAUUCCAGGUGUAGCGGUGAAAUGCGUAGAGAUCUGGAGGAAUACCGAUGGCGAAGGCAGCCAUCUGGCCUAAUACUGACACUGAGGUGCGAAAGCAUGGGGAGCAAACAGGAUUAGAUACCCGAGUAGUCC
Molecule: ribosomal RNA, 451 nt
Filed under: uncultured bacterium
Lineage: Bacteria
Description: partial 16S ribosomal RNA
Rfam family: Bacterial small subunit ribosomal RNA
Source: RNAcentral